AUGCCUCAAGCUUUAUCUAUAAUACCUGCGUCAGGUAUCCAUUUACUAAAAGGCUUCACUUAUAUGUACCACCAACAUUAAACCCCGUUUUGAAUCCUUUUAAACAUAACUACCAUACAAACAUCAUGCAAAAACUACAACAAUGCAUGAUUUAAAGAGAGGACAUCCUAACAAAAGAAUCAAAUUCAAAUCUACAUAACU
Molecule: long non-coding RNA, 201 nt
Filed under: Vigna radiata
Lineage: Eukaryota; Viridiplantae; Streptophyta; Magnoliopsida; Fabales; Fabaceae
Description: long non-coding RNA (VRAD_LNC017701)
Source: RNAcentral